AGUGAACGCUGGCGGUAGGCCUAACACAUGCAAGUCGAACGGCAGCACAGUAAGAGCUUGCUCUUACGGGUGGCGAGUGGCGGACGGGUGAGGAAUACAUCGUAAUCUACUUUUUCGUGGGGGAUAACGUAGGGAAACUUACGCUAAUACCGCAUACGACCUACGGGUGAAAGCAGGGGAUCUUCGGACCUUGCGCGAUUGAAUGAGCCGAUGUCGGAUUAGCUAGUUGGCGGGGUAAAUGCCCACCAAGGCGACGAUCCGUAGCUGGUCUGAGAGGAGGAUCAGCCACACUGGAACUGAGACACGGUCCAGACUCCUACGGGAGGCAGCAGUGGGGAAUAUUGGACAAUGGGCGCAAGCAUGAUCCAGCCAUACCGCGUGGGUGAAGAAGGCCUUCGGUUUGUAAAGCCCUUUUGUUGGGAAAGAAAAGCAGCAGGUUAAUACCCCGCUGUUCUGACGGUACCCAAAGAAUAAGCACCGGCUAACUUCGUG
This 492-nucleotide ribosomal RNA is filed under the name uncultured bacterium. Its description in RNAcentral is "partial 16S ribosomal RNA". It matches the Rfam family "Bacterial small subunit ribosomal RNA", at positions 29 to 507 of the family's 1533-position model. The record is from RNAcentral.